Molecule: ribosomal RNA, 418 nt
Filed under: uncultured microorganism
Description: bacterial SSU rRNA
Rfam family: Bacterial small subunit ribosomal RNA
Source: RNAcentral
GAGUUUGAUCAUGGCUCAGAUGACGCUGGCGGCAUGCCUUACACAUGCAAGUCGAACGGCAGCAUGAUCUAGCUUGCUAGAUUGAUGGCGAGUGGCGAACGGGUGAGUAAUACAUCGGAACGUGCCCUGUAGUGGGGGAUAACUAGUCGAAAGAUUAGCUAAUACCGCAUACGACCUGAGGGUGAAAGUGGGGGACCGCAAGGCCUCAUGCUAUAGGAGCGGCCGAUGUCUGAUUAGCUAGUUGGUGGGGUAAAGGCCCACCAAGGCGACGAUCAGUAGCUGGUCUGAGAGGACGAUCAGCCACACUGGGACUGAGACACGGCCCAGACUCCUACGGGAGGCAGCAGUGGGGAAUUUUGGACAAUGGGCGAAAGCCUGAUCCAGCAAUGCCGCGUGUGUGAAGAAGGCCUGGUGUAAG